GGUUCGACUCGAGCGGAGCGAGAAGAACGUUGCGUCAGCAACGGCCCGAAGGGCGAGCCACGUAGUGGCGAGUUAUCCUCUAUCACCGACCA
This 92-nucleotide small RNA is filed under the name Klebsiella michiganensis. RNAcentral's name for it is "partial RtT sRNA". It matches the Rfam family "RtT RNA", at positions 40 to 130 of the family's 130-position model. Rfam says of the family: This family represents a bacterial cis-regulatory element known as RtT RNA. The exact function of RtT is unknown although it is thought that it may be involved in changing the cellular response in relation to amino acid starvation. Lineage: Bacteria; Pseudomonadati; Pseudomonadota; Gammaproteobacteria; Enterobacterales; Enterobacteriaceae. The record is from RNAcentral.